Sebastes umbrosus (honeycomb rockfish) is the source of this 810-nucleotide long non-coding RNA. RefSeq lists it as uncharacterized. NCBI's taxonomy places the organism in Eukaryota, Metazoa, Chordata, Actinopteri, Perciformes, Sebastidae. The transcript is spliced from 2 exons. The record is from RefSeq and is a predicted model, not a curated record.
CUCUAACUGCUGCUGUUUUUAAGUUUCAUUUCAAUGAUUUGCCUUUACAAGACGACAUUUUUAGAAAUAACUGAAAAACACUUUUAAGUUAAACACAUACAUUACUGACUGCAGGUUGAUGCAACCUUUCUCCUCGCAACAAACCGGCAUCCUCAAAGUUGCUGCAUUAGGGAUGUUAAUAAUGAACCUUUUAACCAUUUACCAACAUUAAUAACUUUAACCGAUUAAUGCUAUCGGUUAAAAGAAAUAUUCAAAAUAGCUAAAAAGCUGAGCAAACCUAAGAGGAGCAGCUUGUCACUUCAAGGAGAAUAGCUGGUCCACCUUAACAGCCCACCUUAAGUGAGUCUGAGCCGGCGUUACAGAUACAGGAGCUUGGCUUGGGUUUUGAGAAGUUGUGUACAACUGUACACACACUGCACAGCUACAACGCCACCGACAACCCCACACUCACCGCCGCCGCCACACACACACACACACACACGGCCUGUCGGAUACUCGCUAAACCAGGCAGACACACUGCUGACCACCUCGCAGCCUAACUAAAUGGUGCGGUGCAGACUUACUGGGACAAUACACGCAGCGUCAUGGCUGCUGCAGUAACUCUCCCGGACGGGUGAACUGGGGACUCAGUUGUCUGUUUUACGCAUACACUGCAGCUGCCGAUAAAUGAUGGAUUUAACCUGUUUGUGCAUCGGCUUAUCGUUGCAGCAGGGCGGCGUGUAAGGCACUAAAAAUAACACCGCUGCAUGGGUUAUGGUAAUCUUGUUGGAUAAUGGUUAAUAAUCGGUUAACGAGGGUCGGUUAUCGGUU